Podarcis lilfordi (Lilford's wall lizard) is the source of this 74-nucleotide non-coding RNA. The record is from the annotation of a GenBank genome assembly. NCBI's taxonomy places the organism in Eukaryota, Metazoa, Chordata, Lepidosauria, Squamata, Lacertidae.
AUAUAUACACACACACACACACACACACACACACACACAUAUGUGUGUGUGUGUGUGUGUGUGUGUGUGUAUAU